CAGGCUUCUAUGGCACUAGUAGGCCUUCUCCAGGUUCAGAUAAGUGGGGGAUGGUGCCCAAGGCUGGUACUCUGGUCAAGCCUCACCUGGGAACUGUUCUAAGCACUUUGACCUUGGGUUAUGGUCCUACUACAAUUCCCUUGAAGAGCUCACAGUGACAGGUAGAGAAGAGUCUGCGCCUCGAUCAGAUAACCAUUUCCUCUUCUAAGUGUUAAUAUGUGGUCUCAAAGAGGCUUUAACUAGGACUGGCCUCUGUCCAAACCCAUGAGAAGAAUCAAAUUCUAACAUGGACUUGGGGGAAAGCUACCAGUGGUUGCAGCAAGUAUGAAUAGUAAAAAUUUACACUUGCCUUCACACAAGGAAGCAAGAAUACUAAAUUCCAAUCUAUGUUAUAUCAUUGUACCAGCUAUGUGACUUUGGACACUUAGUCUUCAUGUAACAUCACUGUAAGAAAAUGUUUCUAUGGAUGACAAAGAUUGAAUGAGUCACUCCACAUAGAAGAUGAGUGGACUCCUUAAUUGCUGCUCACAGGCCAGAAAUAAACAUCAUCCCAACACAGUUUUUGACUUGCAAUAGACCCUCCACAUCUCUAGGUCUCCAGUGUUCAUCCGUGUAAUGAGAUCUUGAGCUAUGUGAUUUCUCGGGACUCUUCUGGGCUUGAUAUUCCAGGAUUCUAGCAAACUUAUUACAGCUGAAGUCAUGAAGGAAAUAAUGUGCAGUGUACACUAUGUGUGCAAACAGCAACAAAGUAGGCAUUGGGCAACGGAAGCCAAUGUGCCUGAAAUUCCUAGAGCCCCAGGGUUUAGCAGGGUAAAUACUGUCAUGCUUGUGUUUACCCUGAGCUGCAAACAGAUCAGAACAAAGUGUAAGGUACAAGAAUUCUCAACACAAUUAUGUGUUUCCCAAUAUGGGUUGGUAAUCUGUGGUGUUAUUUUACUUUCUAACAAAGAAUUCAUCUUGCUUGUCCUCUGGGAACACGGUAUCUUCCUAGGGAAAAAGUCUGCUCUCAGAGAGAAGAGUACUGGUGUUGUAAUGGAGCGGACAAUAUUUAAGCACCUGACCUAUCUGCAUUGCUGCAAUGGCAAAAUAUUUAAAAAGUCCCUAGAAUCAGAUGACAACAGAAGCACGACAAAGCAUAAGAUAUGAGACAGAAGAAAGACAUCAAGGAGGGAAAUACAGCUGUGGAAGCAUAGUAACGAUGCACCUUAAACUCCUAGGAAAACAAGAACAACCAGAAUCCAAAAUUAGUAGAAGGAAAGAAGUGAUAAAGAUCAGAGUGGAAAUUGAUGAUAAUGAGACUACAAAGAGAUAAAGGAUCAAUGAACCAAGGAGUUUAUUCUGUGAAAGAAUAAACAAGAUUGAUAAACCCUUAGCUGAAUUUAUGAAAAGAAGAAAAAUGCAAUAGCAAUGCAAAUAGAAACAAAAAAGGUGAAAUCACAAUGGACACCACUAAAGUCCAGAGAAUUAUAAGAAACUAUUUCUACAACUUGUAUUCCAAAAAAUCGGAGAACCUAGAAGAAGUAGAGAUUCCCAGACACAGGUGAAUUACGGGAAUGGAAGCAAGCAGAGAUAAACACCCUGGAUAGGCCAGUAACAGGCAAUGCAAUAGACGCAGUAAUAGAAACCCUCCGACUAAGAAAAUCCCAGGUCCUGAUGGAUCCACUGCUGAAUUCUUCCAGAACUUCAGGGAAGAUCUAAACCUGAUAGCCCUCGAACUCCUCUAGGAAGUUGAAAGGGAACAGACAUUGCCAAAUGGAUUCCUGGGAGCCAGCAUUACCCUAAUAACAAGCCUGGACGUAGACGCAACAGAAAAGAAAACUACAGCUCAAUUUACUUUCCAAAUAUAGAUGCAAAAUCCUCAACAAGAAAAUGGUAAAUGGCAACAAAUCAUUAAAAAGAUCUCACAACAUGGUCCAGACAGACGGCUUCAUCUCAGGGAUGCAAGGAUGGCUCAGCAUAUGGAAAUCAACAAACUUGAUACAUUGCGUGUCCUACGUGCAAUGCAGAGGCAAGGACGAAAAUCACACCAUCAACUCAAGAGAUGCAGAAAAAGCCCUUGAAAAAAAUCCAGCAUCCAUUCACGAUUAACCCCCCCCCACACACAAACAUAGGAAUAGACCAUCUUAUCUCAAACUGAUAACAGAC
Heterocephalus glaber (naked mole-rat) is the source of this 2145-nucleotide long non-coding RNA. The record is from Ensembl. Lineage: Eukaryota; Metazoa; Chordata; Mammalia; Rodentia; Bathyergidae.